AGUAUGUUCACAUCAGUUAAAGAUUCAAAUAAUCCUACUCCAAGCUUACAGUUAUAGAAACUGAACAGAGAAUAAACCAAAUUAAGGAAUUAUUUACUGUAAACCUCUAAUUGAAGCCAAAUUUAUUAUUUUAUAUUUUUAGGGGACAAUGACUGAAGAUGCAUUGACAAAACAAUGAUUAGAUAUUUCAUGCUGCCCACCAGUAACCAGGCUAUUAGAGAUAGUAGUAGUAGAGAGUAGUAGUAGAUUUGAGAGGACAUCCAAAAUCAAUUAUGGAAAAUACUAAAACAAAUAAACAUGGUAAUUUCAAUACUUGCCCUCACUUGUUUUUGUAAAGAAAAAAUUUUCCAGUUUUUAAUUUAAUUGACUAACAUUCACAACUAAAGAAACAUUAAAAUUAAUAAUUAGCAAGUUCAAUAUUGUCAAAUAUAGAGU
Molecule: long non-coding RNA, 435 nt
Organism: Aethina tumida (small hive beetle)
Lineage: Eukaryota; Metazoa; Arthropoda; Insecta; Coleoptera; Nitidulidae
Exons: 3
Source: RefSeq, a predicted model, not a curated record